This 1476-nucleotide long non-coding RNA is filed under the name Olea europaea subsp. europaea. Lineage: Eukaryota; Viridiplantae; Streptophyta; Magnoliopsida; Lamiales; Oleaceae. The record is from RNAcentral.
CUUAUGAAUUAAGUUAUUGUAUGGAAUUAGGAUAGUGAAUUCUUUCAAAAAUCGCUGAACUUAUACCAUAGUCACGGACUGCUCAUCAAACUUCAUUUUGCUUCAGAGUACUCACUCAACUUUGCCCGUUUGCUCUCCAUCUACCACUGCCAAAAAUCUGUUUGUUGGUCGCUGACGUGGCUGAUAAAAUAUGCCACCCGUUAACUUGGGAGAAAAAUGUGGUCUUCUGCCUAUUUAGCAAAAUCGGGUGUCUGACAGACGAUUUUGUCCCUUUAGCUUAAAUAAAACGGGGGACAAACGAUUUCUGUACUUCAAAGCUUUGGUUGAGUCUGAUUUUCCCUAAAUCGAUUGACGAACUACGUCUUCUUCCAAGCACGAAGUCUGUCUUGCACACACGGUUGAACCUACACAACCAGGGGUGUUGUGUUAAAGCUGAAAAAUUCCUCCCCUCUCUACGGACCGCCUAAUUUUUUCUUCUGCAGCCAUCUCGUUGUUAUAGCUUUGUGGCGGCAAUAUCUGAAGUUUUUGGGGAUAUUGGGUCAAUAAGGUACUGUUAUUGUGAAGCAAUUGUGCAUCUGAGAACACCAGAAAUUCUGCAAAUUGAUGAAAAAUAUACAAAAUUGCGUUUUUGGGCAUUGUCGUCCUCAUUGUAAUCCGGCCAUUCUGUUGAAGAAUUGAAUCUUAUGUAUUAAUUAUGGUUUUUGUAAUGUUAGUCUGAAUCCUAUGUAUUGACUAUUAUGUUGUAAUCAUAGCUUUGAAUUUGAUUAGUAGUGUGUGCCUACAACUGAGUUUGAAAUUGGUUAUAAUCAACACUUGUGUUUGCGGACGGAGUGUGUAAAGUUGGAGAAGCAUUUUUAUGCAUUGUCCUCUUCUUUGUAAUCCAGGGUUCAACAGGUAGGAAAAACUUACAGAUUUGGGAUUAUGGAUUAUGGAAGAAGAAUUUGGGUAAUCGAUUUAGAGGUUGACUGAGUCUUGAUUCCUGAUUGUUGAAGACGUCCAUGGUUUUUUCAGAUUAUAGAAAUCGGUUUUUGUUUUUUUCCCCCCCUUUUUAUUUAAGCUAAUGGGGAAAAAAUUGUUUUUCCAUUUUAUUUUUCAAAAAUUGGUUUUUUAUUUUAUUUUUUUGCUGAAUAGGAAGAUGUCAUUUUUCUCCCAAGUUAACGAUCAUUAGAUGCCACCUAGGAAUUUCGUUUGCCAUGUAAGCAACCCACAAACAGAUUUUCUGACGGUGGUGGAUGGAGAGCAAACGAGUGAAGUUGAGUUAGUACUAUGAAGCAGAAUGAAGUUUGAUGAGCAGUCCGUGACCAUGGCAUAAGUUCGAUGAUUUUUGAAACAAUUCACUCAGAAUUAGGGGUUUUUUGGAUGUUGGUUGAAUUUAUGGUUUAUUAGAAUAUGCAUUUCCAUUGUGGAUUAUUAGAAUAUACAUGCUCAUUGUAGGUUGAAUUUGUGGAUUGAUAUGUUCAAUUUAUUGUAAUGUGG